This 26-nucleotide non-coding RNA is filed under the name Homo sapiens (human). Lineage: Eukaryota; Metazoa; Chordata; Mammalia; Primates; Hominidae. The record is from RNAcentral.
UCAGCACCAGUGUGUCAGUAUUUGGA